UGGGGAAUUUUGGACAAUGGGCGAAAGCCUGAUCCAGCAAUGCCGCGUGUGUGAAGAAGGCCUUCGGGUUGUAAAGCACUUUUGUCCGGAAAGAAAUCCUUGGCUCUAAUACAGUCGGGGGAUGACGGUACCGGAAGAAUAAGCACCGGCUAACUACGUGCCAGCAGCCGCGGUAAUACGUAGGGUGCAAGCGUUAAUCGGAAUUACUGGGCGUAAAGCGUGCGCAGGCGGUUUGCUAAGACCGAUGUGAAAUCCCCGGGCUCAACCUGGGAACUGCAUUGGUGACUGGCAGGCUAGAGUAUGGCAGAGGGGGGUAGAAUUCCACGUGUAGCAGUGAAAUGCGUAGAGAUGUGGAGGAAUACCGAUGGCGAAGGCAGCCCCCUGGGCCAAUACUGACGCUCAUGCACGAAAAGCGUGGGGAGCAAAACAGGAUUAGAUACCCCUGGUAGUCCACGCCCUAAAACGAUGUCAACUAGUUGUUGGGGAUUCAUUUUCCUUAGUAACGUAGCUAACGCGUGAAGUUGACCGCCU
Molecule: ribosomal RNA, 531 nt
Filed under: uncultured bacterium
Lineage: Bacteria
Description: partial 16S ribosomal RNA
Rfam family: Bacterial small subunit ribosomal RNA
Source: RNAcentral